UUAUUAUGAGAGUUUGAUCCUGGCUCAGGACGAACGCUGGCGGCGUGCCUAAUACAUGCAAGUCGAACGCUUCUUUCCUCCCGAGUGCUUGCACUCAAUUGGAAAGAGGAGUGGCGGACGGGUGAGUAACACGUGGGUAACCUACCCAUCAGAGGGGGAUAACACUUGGAAACAGGUGCUAAUACCGCAUAACAGUUUAUGUCGCAUGGCAUAAGAGUGAAAGGCGCUUUCGGGUGUCGCUGAUGGAUGGACCCGCGGUGCAUUAGCUAGUUGGUGAGGUAACGGCUCACCAAGGCC
Molecule: ribosomal RNA, 297 nt
Filed under: Enterococcus faecalis
Lineage: Bacteria; Bacillati; Bacillota; Bacilli; Lactobacillales; Enterococcaceae
Description: partial 16S ribosomal RNA
Rfam family: Bacterial small subunit ribosomal RNA
Source: RNAcentral